This 2810-nucleotide long non-coding RNA is filed under the name Acyrthosiphon pisum (pea aphid). Its description in RNAcentral is "uncharacterized LOC115034893". Lineage: Eukaryota; Metazoa; Arthropoda; Insecta; Hemiptera; Aphididae. The record is from RNAcentral.
AUGGACAUCUAAAGUUAUUUUUUGUAAUUUUUUGGUCUAGGGUCUAUGUUUUCUCUUUCUGACGUAUAAGUAAGUGCAUAUCGCUCAGAAAGAGUUCCAAAUAUAUUGUUUUUGUCGUUCACACACAAAAUUGUCUACAGUUAAUGUAACAACUACUGAUAAACUCUAAUAAUUUAAACACUCCUACAAUAUAAGCAAAAAAUAACUUCCAUGAAUGGAUAUCUAAAGUGAUUUUUUGUAAUUUUUUGUCCUAGGGUGUAUGUUUUCUCUUUCUGACUACAGUUGUCCCAGUGUAGGUACCUCAACAAACCGAUAUAUUGUCAGAGGAGUCUUUUAUUGCUUUUAUUCUGAGCCAGAGAUUAAGCAUUAGAUGCUGAUUGUGUAGCAUUAAUUGAUUUUGGCAAUGCCAAAGGUAUUAAUGAUGUUAAUUUUUCAUUUAAAUCAUUUAUCAAUAAUUCUGGAUAAAGCAUGUCUUCAGGUCUGAAGUGUCUUUCACACACACAAUUGUCCAAUAGGCGCAUACGUUUUUUAUAUUUAUCAAGGUAUCAUAUAGUUCUUUGUACAUUGGACUCUGAUUAACGUAUUCAUUUGUUAUAGCGUAUAAAUAUUUUUUGUCAUUAUCGCUUCAUACUGUGAUCUCUGCGACUGAGUUAAUUCUUGAUACUUGUGUUGUGCUAGUGAUACAUCACUAGCUGGACUAGUUGCUAACUUAACAUGGAUUAUUUCAUUUUUAAUAUAACGGCCAUUCAUUACAGUAAUAGCCGACUGUGUAUGUGAUGCCUGUAAAAUAAAAAAUAAAAAAAAAUGGACAUCUAAAGUUAUUUUUUGUAAUUUUUUGGUCUAGGGUCUAUGUUUUCUCUUUCUGACGUAUAAGUAAGUGCAUAUCGCUCAGAAAGAGUUCCAAAUAUAUUGUUUUUGUCGUUCACACACAAAAUUGUCAACAGUUAAUCUAACAACUACUGAUAAACUCUAAUAAUUUAAACAUUCCUACAAUAUAAGCAAAAAAUAACUUCCAUGAAUGGAUAUCUAAAGUGAUUUUUUGUAAUUUUUUGUCCUAGGGUGUAUGUUUUCUCUUUCUGACUACAGUUGUCCCAGUGUAGGUACCUCAACAAACGGAUAUAUUGUCAGAGGAGUCUUUUAUUGCUUUUAUUCUGAGCCAGAGAUUAAGCAUUAGAUGCUGAUUGUGUAGCAUUAAUUGAUUUUGGCAAUGCCAAAGGUAUUAAUGAUGUUAAUUUUUCAUUUAAAUCAUUUAUCAAUAAUUCUGGAUAAAGCAUGUCUUCAGGUCUGAAGUGUCUUUCACACACACAAUUGUCUACAGUUAAGUUCACUUUUAGUGAUAAACUCUAAUAAUUUAAACAUUCCUAAAAAAUAAGCAAAAAAUAACUUCCAUGAAUGGACAACUAAAUAUAUUUUUGUAAUUUUUUGGUCUAGGGUCUAUGUUUUCUCUUUCUGACGUAUAAGUAAGUGCAUAUCGCUCAGAAAGAGUUCCAAAUAUAUUGUUUUUGUCGUUCACACACAAAAUUGUCUACAGUUAAUCUAACAACUACUGAUAAACUCUAAUAAUUUAAACAUUCCUACAAUUCUUCUUUAAGGGUGCAUACGUUUUUUAUUUAUGAUACAUCACUAGCUGGUCUAGAUGCUAAAUGGACAUUGACUAAUUUAUCUUUCAUAUAACUACCAUUCAUUACAAUAAUAGCCGACUGUGUAUGUGAUGCCUGUAAAGUAAAAAAUAAAAAUAAAUGGACAUCUAAAGUUAUAUUUUUGUAAUAUUUUGGUCUGGGGUCUAUGUUUUCUCUUUCUGACGUAUAAGUAAGUGCAUAUCGCUCAGAAAGAGUUCCAAAUAUAUUUUUUUGUCGUUCACACACAAAAUUGUCUAAAGUUAAUCUAACAACUACUGAUAAACUCUAAUAAUUUAAACAUUCGUACAAUAUAAGCAAAAAAUAACUUCCAUGAAUGGAUAUCUAAAGUGAUUUUUUUGUAAUUUUUUGUCUAGGGUGUAUGUUUUCUCUUUCUGACUACAGUUGUCCCAGUGUAGGUACCUCAACAAACGGAUAUAUUGUGAGAGGAAUCUUUUAUUGCUUUUAUUCUGAGCCAGAGAUUAAGCAUUAGAUGCAGAUUGUGUAGCAUUAAUUGAUUUUGGCAAUGCCAAAGGUAUUAAUGAUGUUAAUUUUUCAUUUAUAUCAUUUAUCAAUAAUUCUGGAUAAAGCAUGUCUUCAGGUCUGAAGUGUCUUUCACACACAAUAUUGUCUACAGUUAAGUUCACUUUUAGUGAUAAACUCUAAUAAUUUAAACAUUCCUACAAAAUAAGCAAAAAUUAACUUCCAUGAAUGGACAUCUAAAGUUAUAUUUUUGUAAUAUUUUGGUCUGGGGUCUAUGUUUUCUCUUUCUGACGUAUAAGUAAGUGCAUAUCGCUCAGAAAGAGUUCCAAAUAUAUUGUUUUUGUCGUUCACACACAAAAUUGUCUACAGUUAAUCUAACACCUACUGAUAAACUUAAUAACUUAAACAUUCCUACUAUUCUUCUUUAAUAGGCGCAUACGUUUUUUAUAUUUAUCAAGGUAUCAUAUAUUUCUUUAUACAUUGGACUCUGAUUAACGUAUUCAUUUGUUAUAGCGUAUAAAUAUUUUUUGUCAUUAUCGCUUCCUACUGUGAUCUCUGCGACUGAGUUAAUUCUUGAUACUUGUGUUGUGCUAGUGAUACAUCACUAGCUGGACUAGUUGCUAACUUAACAUGGAUUAUUUCAUUUUUGAUAUAACGGCCAUUCAUUACAGUAAUAGCCGACUGUGUAUGUGAUUCCUGUAAAAUAAAAAA